GGGGAACACACCGUCUAGUUUAUAAAGAUCAUUGUGAUGAUUAAAUUAAAUCAGAUCAUGAAUGUAAAGAGAAUUACCUGCCUGACAGAAAGGAAGAAGAACCCAACACAUGAAGCUAAUAUUAAUGUCAUUGAGAUAAGCCUGGCAGUUUUACCCUCCUGAGUCUUUCCCUUCUUUUCCCUUCUUCUCCUUUACAUCAGCCCAGAGCCUCUGCCAGAAAUAUCAUAAGAAGUUCCUUAAAGGUACUAGUUUUUGAAGACCUCCUUAUUGUACUGCUGAGAGAAACUUGAAUUGUAAGUGCAAUUCUUGGAGGCGGUAGGAUCAGGGAAGAGAUAAAAUGCAUGGAUGUUCACAAGACCCUCAAGGUGGGCCACAGUGCAAAAAUGGUUCAGAUUUGGACUACCAGCCAAAGGAAACAGGAAGAGAAAGUGCAGAGGGAAAAUGCCAAAGCACAGGGGUGAGCUGUUGCUGCAGCUACUGUGAAGGUGAAAUAUACCUUUUCAGCAGUUUGUCAAAGAAGAUCUUCAACAUGUGAAUUAUGGAAUAUGCAAAAUGCAUACUCACGGCGACAUUUAUAUCUCCUUCGGCUUUGGACACCUUCACAGAUGGUAUCUGGGGAAAAUCAAAAGGAGCAAAGCUUGUAGCCUUUUUCUUUGUGAACUUCCCUAGUGAAAAGAUUUUGUAUCAAGUGUUCUUGUUAUUCCUCUGGCAACCUCUUACUCUUCUGCUUCCACCACUGUUCUUACAUUUAGAGUUUGUGUGUUUUACUGAUGUUACUAUUUCCUAUACAACUGUUAGAAUCUGCUGAAAGCCUUAUGAGAACAGAGAUUGUGCUUCUACUUCUGACUUUUUUUUCCCUUCCGGUGCUGAGGAUUGAACCCAGCCCUGCACAUGCUAGGCAAGCAGUCUACCACUGAACUACAUCCCCAGCCCUGCUUCUUACUUCUGUACCUCCUCUAGCAGUAAGUCCCAGCAGAUGAGUGCAUACUAAUUGAUCCUGGGCUUCCAAAGGUGGACCCCUGCUGCAGAGUGUAGUGCUGGGUCCCCAAACCAAGCAGAUGCCCAAAGAGGUUCUUAUCAAAAAAAAAAAAAAAAAAACAACUGUUGGUGGCACAGACCUAAGCGAGUUGGUGCAGAAAUGGAAGUGCAGUUUCCUGAGCAUUGUCAUAACAAGACACUGAUUGCUGUGUGAUGUUAGAUGAGUCAUUUCCUUUGUGUUACCUUGGUUUUACUCAUCUGCAAAAUGGGGAGGAUAAUUUUAUAAAAGAACAUGUGCAUAUUCACUUAUUUUUCCUCAUCAGAAAAGUAAUAUAUGUUCAUUAUAGAAAAUAUAGAUUAUUCAGAAGGAUAAGGGAGAAAAUAAAAUAAAAGCCAGCUUUUAUAAACACAGUUUAUAUUUUGGUUUGUUGCUUUUUAAUGUUUUCCUGCACAUGCAAAUGCAUGUGCAUGAGUAAAAUUUGUAGGGCUUAGUGAAAAAUGAAAAUAUAAGUCUCCUUGUUCUAAAAUUAUCAAAAGAGGGCAAC
RNAcentral lists this long non-coding RNA (1523 nucleotides) under Marmota monax (woodchuck). The record is from RNAcentral. Lineage: Eukaryota; Metazoa; Chordata; Mammalia; Rodentia; Sciuridae.